RNAcentral lists this ribosomal RNA (795 nucleotides) under uncultured bacterium. RNAcentral describes it as "bacterial SSU rRNA". It matches the Rfam family "Bacterial small subunit ribosomal RNA", at positions 60 to 848 of the family's 1533-position model. The record is from RNAcentral.
AGUCGAGGGGCAGCAUCAUUAAAGCUUGCUUUGAUGGAUGGCGACCGGCGCACGGGUGAGUAACACGUAUCCAACCUGCCGACAACACUGGGAUAGCCUUUCGAAAGAAAGAUUAAUACCGGAUGGCAUAGUCUUCCCGCAUGGGAUGACUAUUAAAGAAUUUCGGUUGUCGAUGGGGAUGCGUUCCAUUAGGCAGUUGGCGGGGUAACGGCCCACCAAACCAACGAUGGAUAGGGGUUCUGAGAGGAAGGUCCCCCACAUUGGAACUGAGACACGGUCCAAACUCCUACGGGAGGCAGCAGUGAGGAAUAUUGGUCAAUGGACGAGAGUCUGAACCAGCCAAGUAGCGUGAAGGAUGACUGCCCUAUGGGUUGUAAACUUCUUUUAUACGGGAAUAAAGUGAGCCACGUGUGGCUUUUUGUAUGUACCGUAUGAAUAAGGAUCGGCUAACUCCGUGCCAGCAGCCGCGGUAAUACGGAGGAUCCGAGCGUUAUCCGGAUUUAUUGGGUUUAAAGGGAGCGUAGGCGGGUUGUUAAGUCAGUUGUGAAAGUUUGCGGCUCAACCGUAAAAUUGCAGUUGAUACUGGCGACCUUGAGUGCAACAGAGGUAGGCGGAAUUCGUGGUGUAGCGGUGAAAUGCUUAGAUAUCACGAAGAACUCCGAUUGCGAAGGCAGCUUACUGGAUUGUAACUGACGCUGAUGCUCGAAAGUGUGGGUAUCAAACAGGAUUAGAUACCCUGGUAGUCCACACAGUAAACGAUGAAUACUCGCUGUUGGCGAUAUACGGUCAGCGGCC